Molecule: ribosomal RNA, 497 nt
Filed under: uncultured bacterium
Lineage: Bacteria
Description: partial 16S ribosomal RNA
Rfam family: Bacterial small subunit ribosomal RNA
Source: RNAcentral
GAUGAACGCUGGCGGCGUGCCUAAUACAUGCAAGUCGAGCGAACGGACGAGAAGCUUGCUUUUCUGACGUUAGCGGCGGACGGGUGAGUAACACGUGGAUAACCUACCUAUAAGACUGGGAUAACUUCGGGAAACCGGAGCUAAUACCGGAUAAUAUUUUGAACCGCAUGGUUCAAAAGUGAAAGACGGUCUUGCUGUCACUUAUAGAUGGAUCCGCGCUGCAUUAGCUAGUUGGUAAGGUAACGGCUUACCAAGGCAACGAUGCAUAGCCGACCUGAGAGGGUGAUCGGCCACACUGGAACUGAGACACGGUCCAGACUCCUACGGGAGGCAGCAGUAGGGAAUCGUCCGCAAUGGGCGAAAGCCUGACGGAGCAACGCCGCGUGAGUGAUGAAGGUCUUCGGAUCGUAAAACUCUGUUAUUAGGGAAGAACAUAUGUGUAAGUAACUGUGCACAUCUUGACGGUACCUAAUCAGAAAGCCACGGCUAACUACGUG